GAUGAAGAACGCAGCGAAAUGCGAUAAGUAAUGUGAAUUGCAGAAUCCAGUGAAUCAUCGAAUCUUUGAACGCACAUUGCGCCCGCCAGCAUUCUGGCGGGCAUGCCUGUUCGAGCGUCAUUUCAACCCUCGACCUCCCUUUGGGGAAGUCGGCGUUGGGGACCGGCAGCACACCGCCGGCCCUGAAAUGGAGUGGCGGCCCGUCCGCGGCGACCUCUGCGUAGUAAACCAACUCGCACCGGAACCCCGACGUGGCCACGCCGUAAAACACCCAACUUCUGAACGUUGACCUCGAAUCAGGUAGGACUACCCGCUGAACUUAAGCAUAUCAAUAAGCGGAGA
This 342-nucleotide unclassified non-coding RNA is filed under the name soil metagenome. RNAcentral's name for it is "partial contains 5.8S ribosomal RNA, internal transcribed spacer 2, and large subunit ribosomal RNA". The stretch from base 1 to 120 matches the Rfam family "5.8S ribosomal RNA", at positions 35 to 154 of the family's 154-position model. The record is from RNAcentral.